RNAcentral lists this ribosomal RNA (253 nucleotides) under uncultured bacterium. RNAcentral's name for it is "partial 16S ribosomal RNA". It matches the Rfam family "Bacterial small subunit ribosomal RNA", at positions 524 to 776 of the family's 1533-position model. The record is from RNAcentral.
UACGAAGGGGGCUAGCGUUGCUCGGAAUCACUGGGCGUAAAGCGCACGUAGGCGGAUUGCUAAGUCAGGGGUGAAAUCCUGGAGCUCAACUCCAGAACUGCCUUCGAUACUGAGAGUCUCGAGUCCGAGAGAGGUGAGUGGAACUGCGAGUGUAGAGGUGAAAUUCGUAGAUAUUCGCAAGAACACCAGUGGCGAAGGCGGCUCACUGGCUCGGUACUGACGCUGAGGUGCGAAAGCGUGGGGAGCAAACAGG